AGUGAACGCUGGCGGUAGGCCUAACACAUGCAAGUCGAACGGCAGCACAGUAAGAGCUUGCUCUUACGGGUGGAGAGUGGCGGACGGGUGAGGAAUACAUCGGAAUCUACUUUUUCGUGGGGGAUAACGUAGGGAAACUUACGCUAAUACCGCAUACGACCUACGGGUGAAAGCAGGGGAUCUUCGGACCUUGCGCGAUUGAAUGAGCCGAUGUCGGAUUAGCUAGUUGGCGGGGUAAAGGCCCACCAAGGCGACGAUCCGUAGCUGGUCUGAGAGGAUGAUCAGCCACACUGGAACUGAGACACGGUCCAGACUCCUACGGGAGGCAGCAGUGGGGAAUAUUGGACAAUGGGUGCAAGCCUGAUCCAGCCAUACCGCGUGGGUGAAGAAGGCCUUCGGGUUGUAAAGCCCUUUUGUUGGGAAAGAAAAGCAGCAGGUUAAUACCCCGCUGUUCUGACGGUACCCAAAGAAUAAGCACCGGCUAACUUCGUG
RNAcentral lists this ribosomal RNA (492 nucleotides) under uncultured bacterium. Its description in RNAcentral is "partial 16S ribosomal RNA". It matches the Rfam family "Bacterial small subunit ribosomal RNA", at positions 29 to 507 of the family's 1533-position model. The record is from RNAcentral.